This 205-nucleotide long non-coding RNA is filed under the name Nicotiana benthamiana. RNAcentral's name for it is "long non-coding RNA (NBEN_LNC026788)". The record is from RNAcentral. Lineage: Eukaryota; Viridiplantae; Streptophyta; Magnoliopsida; Solanales; Solanaceae.
UUAUUCAUGCUUUGCGCUUCUAUCGUGCUUGCUUAAAUCAUUGAUUUUGUCUUCUAAUAUUGGAGAAAUCUUGAUGAAUUUCUUUAUAUCGGUAUUAUUUAGAGAAUAGGCAGAUUGCACUCCAAGCCUUUAUCUCUUGUAUAAGUUUUGCAUCCUGUUGUCUGCUGAGGUACUAAAUUGAUGUAUGAGCUAAUUAAUUGUUUUA